Eleginops maclovinus (Patagonian blennie) is the source of this 885-nucleotide long non-coding RNA. RefSeq lists it as uncharacterized. The transcript is spliced from 3 exons. The record is from RefSeq and is a predicted model, not a curated record. Lineage: Eukaryota; Metazoa; Chordata; Actinopteri; Perciformes; Eleginopidae.
GUUCGACUAACGAUUGCACUUUGUUGUGCUAGUGAUGGCUAAUGUAGCCUUAAACAGAGUUCUGGCGCGGGACUCAGAUGUCAGAUGGCUGAGCUUCGUGCAGCGGUGUAAUUGGAAGACGACGCUCUCUGUUCCUGGCUAGUAAUAUCAGUGAGCAGGAUCAACACUCAGUGACGCUGUAAGCCCUGCAGAACAACCAGUCCAGUUUGGAGAGCCAGCAGCCUUUGGUCAGAACAUCCCGACCCGGUGUGAUGCAGAUUCCUCGCAGACAUCAGUGCCUUUAAAACGACACAAAGAAAUCAUUAUUACCCUUCUAACUAUUUUUUUUUUUUAAAUUACAACUUCAUUUGAUUUGUUGAAUUGCUGUAGGAAACAUUUUUAUUUUACUGUCAAAGGAAAUACAUCUACGUUUUAGUGGGGAAAGGCAUAAUAUGUGGUCAAAGAUAUGUUCCCCUACGACGCCAACAUUUGAAACAGGAGUUAAAGCUAACUUGACUCAAACUGUCUGAUUUAUUAUAUAAAAUACAUUUAAAGUUAUUGGUAAUUGUUGAUUUUAACGAACACUUUUUGUAUCAAAUGAAAAACACAACUGUUGAAUUGAAAAGUCAAACUACAUAGAUCUUCCUAUGAAGAAAUUAUUUAUUAGGCCCUUAAUACAAAACCAAUCCUUCAUUUUAAGAGUGAUUCAAUUUCAGAAACCAAAGUGUGACCUUACUUAGAGCUCAUAAAAUGAAGUAUUAAAAUAUAAUUAUGGCACAAAUGAAAAUAGCUUAUAUUGUUUAAACACCUUUAGUUAUAUUGAGACAGUAAAUUUAGUAAAUGUCAAAAAUGAAAUGUAGUCCUCUGUAUUUUCUGAAUACCAAAUAAAAUUGUCACAUAAUCUCA